This 645-nucleotide ribosomal RNA is filed under the name uncultured archaeon. RNAcentral describes it as "bacterial SSU rRNA". It matches the Rfam family "Archaeal small subunit ribosomal RNA", at positions 29 to 682 of the family's 1478-position model. The record is from RNAcentral.
GCUUUCAGAGUGGGACUAAGCCAUGCGAGUCGACACAGCAAUGUGUGGCAUACGGCUCAGUAACACGUAGUCAACAUGCCCAGGGGACGUGGAUAACCUCGGGAAACUGAGGAUAAACCGCGAUAGGUCACUACUUCUGGAAUGGGUAAUGACCCAAACCUACAUGGCCCCUGGAUUGGACUGCGGCCGACCAGGCUGUUGGUGAGGUAAUGGCCCACCAAACCUGUAACCGGUACGGGCUCUGAGAGGAGGAGCCCGGAGAUGGGCACUGAGACAAGGGCCCAGGCCCUAUGGGGCGCAGCAGGCGCGAAACCUCUGCAAUAGGCGAAAGCUUGACAGGGUUACUCUGAGUGAUUUCCGUUAAGGAGAUCUUUUGGCGCCUCUAAAAAUGGUGCAGAAUAAGGGGUGGGCAAGUCUGGUGUCAGCCGCCGCGGUAAUACCAGCACCCCGAGUGGUCGGGACGUUUAUUGGGCCUAAAGCAUCCGUAGCCGGUUCUACAAGUCUUCCGUUAAAUCCACCUGCUCAACAGAUGGGCUGCGGAAGAUACUAUGGAGCUAGGAGGCGGGARGGGCAAGCGGUACUCGAUGGGUAGGGGUAAAAUCCGUUGAUCCAUUGAAGACCACCAGUGGCGAARGCGGCUUGCCA